UGUGUAGGUGGUGUGAUUAGUCGGGUGUUAAAACUUCAGGCUCAACCUGAAGAUCGCAUUCGAAACGGUCACACUAGAGGAAGUGAGGGGUGUGUGGAACUCAUGGUGUAGGGGUGAAAUCCGUUGAUAUCAUGGGGAACACCAAAAGCGAAGGCAACACACUGGCACUUUCCUGACACUGAGACACGAAAGCGUGGGUAGCGAACG
RNAcentral lists this ribosomal RNA (207 nucleotides) under uncultured bacterium. RNAcentral's name for it is "partial 16S ribosomal RNA". It matches the Rfam family "Bacterial small subunit ribosomal RNA", at positions 568 to 774 of the family's 1533-position model. The record is from RNAcentral.